GACGUAGGGCGCGAGCGUUGUCCGGAUUUAUUGGGCGUAAAGAGCUCGUAGGCGGCUUGUCGCGUCGACUGUGAAGACCCGUGGCUCAACCACGGGCUUGCAGUCGAUACGGGCGGGCUAGAGUUCGGUAGGGGAGACUGGAAUUCCUGGUGUAGCGGUGAAAUGCGCAGAUAUCAGGAGGAACACCGGUGGCGAAGGCGGGUCUCUGGGCCGAUACUGACGCUGAGGAGCGAAAGCGUGGGGAGCGAACAGG
RNAcentral lists this ribosomal RNA (253 nucleotides) under uncultured bacterium. RNAcentral describes it as "partial 16S ribosomal RNA". It matches the Rfam family "Bacterial small subunit ribosomal RNA", at positions 524 to 776 of the family's 1533-position model. The record is from RNAcentral.